CCCUGUGCAAAGGUCAGAGGGGGCAGGGUUUCUGUUGAGGCAGGUGAUUAGCUGUGGGAGGAGCUUAUCAGAGCCUGCAGGGCAGCAGUUGAAGAAGGAGCAAAAAGGGUGUUCUUGUGUGUGUGUGUGUGUGUGUGUGUGUGUGUGUUUCUUUGUGGCUGAUUGGCUGCUCUCCCUGUGCAAAGGUCAGAGGGGGCAGGGUUUCUGUUGAGGCAGGUGAUUAGCUGUGGGAGGAGCUUAUCAGAGCCUGCAGGGCAGCAGUUGAAGAAGGAGCAAAAGGGUGUUCUGUGUGUGUGUGUGUGUGUGUGUGUGUUUCUUUGUGGCUGAUUGGCUGCUCUCCCUGUGCAAAGGUCAGAGGGGGCAGGGUUUCUGUUGAGGCAGGUGAUUAGCUGUGGGAGGAGCUUAUCAGAGCCUGCAGGGCAGCAGUUGAAGAAGGAUCAAAUAGGGUGUUCGUGUGUGUGUGUGUGUGUGUGUGUGUGUUUCUUUGUGGCUGAUUGGCUGCUCUCCCUGUGCAAAGGUCAGAGGGGGCAGGGUUUCUGUUGAGGCAGGUGAUUAGCUGUGGGAGGAGCUUAUCAGAGCCUGCAGGGCAGCAGUUGAAGAAGGAGCAAAAAGGGUGUUCUUGUGUGUGUGUGUGUGUUUCUUUGUGGCUGAUUGGCUGCUCUCCCUGUGCAAAGGUCAGAGGGGGCAGGGUUUCUGUUGAGGCAGGUGAUUAGCUGUGGGAGGAGCUUAUGAGAGGCUGCAAGGCAGCAGUUGACGAAGGUGCAUAUUGGGUGUUCUUGUGUGUGUGUGUGUUUCUUUGUGGCUGAUUGGCUGCUCUCCCUGUGCAAAGGUCAGAGGGGGCAGGGUUUCUGUUGAGGCAGGUGAUUAGCUGUGGGAGGAGCUUAUCAGAGCCUGCAGGGCAGCAGUUGAAGAAGGAGCAAAAAGGGUGUUCUUGUGUGUGUGUGUGUGUGUGUGUGUGUUUCUUUGUGGCUGAUUGGCUGCUCUCCCUGUGCAAAGGUCAGAGGGGGCAGGGUUUCUGUUGAGGCAGGUGAUUAGCUGUGGGAGGAGCUUAUCAGAGCCUGCAGGGCAGCAGUUGAAGAAGGAGCAAAAAGGGUGUUCUUGUGUGUGUGUGUGUGUUUCUUUGUGGCUGAUUGGCUGCUCUCCCUGUGCAAAGGUCAGAGGGGGCAGGGUUUCUGUUGAGGCAGGUGAUUAGCUGUGGGAGGAGCUUAUCAGAGCCUGCAGAGCAGCAGUUGAAGAAGGAGCAAAAAGGGUGUUCUUGUGUGUGUGUGUGUGUGUGUGUGUGUGUUUCUUUGUGGCUGAUUGGCUGCUCUCCCUGUGCAAAGGUCAGAGGGGGCAGGGUUUCUGUUGAGGCAGGUGAUUAGCUGUGGGAGGAGCUUAUCAGAGCCUGCAGGGCAGCAGUUGAAGAAGGAGCAAAAAGGGUGUUCUUGUGUGUGUGUGUGUGUGUGUUUCUUUGUGGCUGAUUGGCUGCUCUCCCUGUGCAAAGGUCAGAGGGGGCAGGGUUUCUGUUGAGGCAGGUGAUUAGCUGUGGGAGGAGCUUAUCAGAGCUUGCAGGGCAGCGGCGCACGCAGUUUGAUCCAUCUUUUAGAUUUAGGGGAGCUAGUCUCAAACGUUUGAUGGGGGAGACCUAGGUUUUUUUGUGGGGGGAGUUAUUUUUCCUGUCUUCACGCUUUUUAUGAUGGAGGACCGCUGUAGCCACCCCCAACGACACGUUCUCAAGAUGGAGUGGGAGGGAACAGCUGCAGUCGCCUGCGG
RNAcentral lists this long non-coding RNA (1752 nucleotides) under Podarcis lilfordi (Lilford's wall lizard). The record is from RNAcentral. Lineage: Eukaryota; Metazoa; Chordata; Lepidosauria; Squamata; Lacertidae.